GCUUGACCAGUAUGAAGGCAUAUUCUGAUAUCUGUUUCCUGGAGUUAGAGUAUUCACAAUACUUUCUUCUGGAUAAUGGUCCGUACUUGAAGCGCUAACUGCACUACCUAUGCAAUCACUUAGACAUGAUUUUGAUGUUCCAAUAGCUUGAAGUAGAGAAGCAUAAACAUUAUGGUCUCUUUUUAAAGUCUCCCAACUGGAAUUGCUAGACUCAUCAUCUUUUCCUUCUGCAACUCUCAGAUCUGGUUCUGUAAUACGGGCUAUUCUCAAGAGCUGCGGAAACUUUCUCAAACAAAGUUGUUUGGAAAUUCCAUUAGUAACCACUGCAAACAAAUAAUUAUACCUUCAACUCAUUGUUCUCCCAAAUGAUAGUAACCUUCAAUGACCUCCAUGUAGCAAAAAAUGGCAUCCCUAAAUUCUUGAAGAAAUGCUUUGUAUAGCAUCAAUUUUCGGAAUAAAAGAACAUGAAAAUUUCUGAAAUUUUUUUCUGAAAAAAUUGAUGACAUAUCAUUAAGCCAGAAGUAGUUGAUACACUUAAAAUUACAUGGAAUGUAGUUGUCUUUCUCUCAGAACCAACAUAGAUUUAGCUAAGAAGAGAAAAAAAUAUAGUGAAGGAUCCAUAUAGGGAUAAACAUGAAAUUUCUAGAAUAACUAGUUGUUGAUUGUGCGAACCAAAGUACUUCAUUGGUAGCUGAAGGGAUUGGAAAGCUACAUAUAAGAUUUAGGAUCUCUUAAUGGAGUGAGGCUUUUUGGGCAUAAUCGUGCAGUCUUGGCCCAAAGCGGACAAUAUCACAAUGUAAAAGUGUUAUUAGGCUUGCUGAGCCAACAACUGGUAUCAUAGCCCAGGUUUGGUGGGAUGAGUAUGGUGAUAUGAUAGAGUGAUAUGGUACCGGGCUCGAUCUACUUACCCAAGUGAAUCUCGGAAAUUGACCCAUGGAUCGUGGUGCUAGGCCUCAUGGAACUUAGUUUCGGGGGGAGAUUGUUGGAUGUGGGUGACACACAGUGAAUCUUGGGAAUUGACCUCUGGAUCGUGGUGAUGGGCCAUGUGGAACUUAGUUCAAGGGGGAGAUUGUUGGGUGUGUGAACAAAGUUCCACAUUGGUAGCUUAAGGGAUUGGGGAAGCUACAAAGAAG
RNAcentral lists this long non-coding RNA (1133 nucleotides) under Capsicum annuum. Its description in RNAcentral is "long non-coding RNA (CANN_LNC000531)". Lineage: Eukaryota; Viridiplantae; Streptophyta; Magnoliopsida; Solanales; Solanaceae. The record is from RNAcentral.